Molecule: long non-coding RNA, 285 nt
Filed under: Gossypium barbadense (sea-island cotton)
Lineage: Eukaryota; Viridiplantae; Streptophyta; Magnoliopsida; Malvales; Malvaceae
Description: long non-coding RNA (GBAR_LNC011050)
Source: RNAcentral
UAUUUUCUUGUCUAAAUUCAUUUUCUGAGCCUAUAUUUUUGCCCAAACUUUCUAUCUUUUAGACAUGCCUUCGAGCUAAAUCGAGUGACCCAAUCUAUGAGCAAAUCUACUUUUACGGAAUCCAAAUUCAAGAAUUGAAAUAAAUUUUUUUUUAUCAAUUUUAAUUAAAGGUGUGAAUUAAAAAAGAAAGAAAGUAAAAACAUCAAACUAAACCUAAUUUUCAUUGGACUAUCUUUUCAAUGGGACAUCUUUAGCUAGCAUUUGCAAUUUUGAAAAAGGAAAUGG